UACGUAGGUGACAAGCGUUGUCCGGAAUUACUGGGCGUAAAGCGUGCGUAGGCGGUCUCUUAAGUCCGUUGUGAAAGCCCUGGGCUCAACCUGGGAACUGCAGUGGAUACUGAGAAGCUAGAGUGUGUCAGAGGAUGGUGGAAUUCCCGGUGUAGCGGUGAAAUGCGUAGAGAUCGGGAGGAACAUCAGUGGCGAAGGCGGCCAUCUGGGACAACGCUGACGCUGAGGCACGAAAGCGUGGGGAGCGAACAGG
Molecule: ribosomal RNA, 253 nt
Filed under: uncultured bacterium
Lineage: Bacteria
Description: partial 16S ribosomal RNA
Rfam family: Bacterial small subunit ribosomal RNA
Source: RNAcentral